This 73-nucleotide transfer RNA is filed under the name Sarcina sp. DSM 11001. It matches the Rfam family "tRNA". From Rfam's summary of the family: Transfer RNA (tRNA) molecules are approximately 80 nucleotides in length. Their secondary structure includes four short double-helical elements and three loops (D, anti-codon, and T loops). RNAcentral also lists the same sequence under 2 other names. The record is from Rfam by way of RNAcentral. Lineage: Bacteria; Bacillati; Bacillota; Clostridia; Eubacteriales; Clostridiaceae.
GGGGGCGUAGCUCAGUUGGGAGAGCGCUACACUGGCAGUGUAGAGGUCAUGGGUUCGAAUCCCACCGUCUCCA